Non-coding RNA from Pelobates cultripes (western spadefoot toad), 209 nucleotides. The record is from the annotation of a GenBank genome assembly. NCBI's taxonomy places the organism in Eukaryota, Metazoa, Chordata, Amphibia, Anura, Pelobatidae.
CUCGUCCCCAGUGUUCCAGGCGUCCUCUCCUCCCAGCAGGUACUUCAGGCCGCGGCUUGGCACGUAGUAGGCCAGAACUUUGUUUUUCGGCUUGGCCUGUCUUGGGCUAUACCGGAAUGGCAUCUGUGUGAUGCUGUCACUUGUACGCCUGGGUGGCAUUCAUUUUGAGCGAUAUAGAGCGGAUUGUCCUCGUAUUUGCAGGCGCUGCC